Molecule: long non-coding RNA, 2079 nt
Organism: Acanthochromis polyacanthus (spiny chromis)
Lineage: Eukaryota; Metazoa; Chordata; Actinopteri; Pomacentridae
Exons: 3
Source: RefSeq, a predicted model, not a curated record
GUGGGUUUUUCCUUCUUUAACUGAGGGGUACCAACAAUUUUGUCCACGUGUGUAUUCUCAUGUUUCAGGUGGUUCACAGAGUCUGUGGGGCAUUUGAAAGAUUUAGGGAGGGCCUGAAGACCCUUGGUGUUCUAGAUGCAAUGAGGAUUCAGCCAGACAGUUUCAGACCUUUAAUGUGUCAUGAACCAUCUCCACUCACUGCUGACGCAAUGGAUCAGCUUUUCCACAUCCGCCUGUCUGCUGUGGGAAGCAACAAGAGAAUGGCAGAGGAACGUAUUGUGGCAUUUUGGAGGGAUUACCUGCAGGAUGUAGAAGAGCAAGUGGGUCCCUCAGCACUAGGUAAAAUCCUAGCUUUUGCGACGGGUGCAAGUGUCAUCCCUCCAGUUGGAUUCUCCCCACUGCCAUCAGUUGAUUUCCUGCAUGAUCAGUCCAUCAGCCCUGGACGCUAUUUGCCUAUGGCACACACCUGCAUUAACUGCCUUAAAGCUGCUGUCCGGAGUUUGAAUCGCAGCGUCUCCCAAAACACUGGUGGUCCCACCCUCUGAUUUCGCCCCUUUAUUUGUGCACGCGCGCAGUACAUGAGAGAAGUGCCCGGAGUGCAGCAGCAUUUUGCCUGUUUUGCUGUUUUCCCCUCUUCUACAUUUAGUACAUUUAGUAAAUAAUAAAGGAAUUACGUUAGAAUGCUGUAUUGAGUCUAACUUGUCCUAAUACCAAAAUAACAUGAAUCUGCUAGGACGAACGAGUAAAGUUUCAAUAUGUGAUUACACUCGUGUAUCCCUCUCGAUGACGUUGUUUAUCAAACUUAGUGCAUUUACGCGUGUAUAUGUGUUACAUUGUUUAUUUAUUUCUAUCUAGAGUUCAGAAUUGCAUGACUCCUCUGACGAAGAGUAUGUCCCAGACGCCCCAACAUCUUCCUCCAGAGGUCGGGCAUCUAAACGAAGCCGUCAGGCGGGCUAUGGAGGCCGUGGUCGGGGAGCGACGCGAGCACCCCGAGGAUUUCAGGGAGAGUAUGGACUUUGCAUUGAGUAACACACAGGGUUUUGGUAGAGAAUAACUUUUGAAGAUUGUGUGUUCCUACCACAAUGCAGUGCUCAGGAUGUUUCAGUUAGAAUGUAUGAACAUAUGAACUGCUGUUUUGGUUUUCUUUCCCCUCUUUGAUUAGGUGUUUGCAGAGGAAAAACAGUUUUGGGGGAAAAAUAUUGUUAAGGAUGUGAUCUUUUACAGGGAUUAGCUGAAAUUUGUUUUUAAAUUUUUGUACCUUUUUUCUGUCACUCAUUUUUGAUCAACAGUGUUGAUUAUAUAUCAGAUUUGUGGUUGUGAGGCAAACUGUUUUGUUCUGGCAUUUCACAUUAAAGCACUGUAUAAAUGCAGCCAUUAACUAUUUGUUACAAAACAAGCCAUGGAGUUUAAGCUGUUAGGCAGCUUUUCUACUGUUCACUAAGAAAAUUCACCAGGCCUAAAAAUAAUUGUAUGCCAUGGUUUCCAUCACCAUUCAGUGGGUCUAUGGCUUCGUUAACUCUGUUCAUGACAGUUUCAUUUACAAUAAAGUCAUUAACAGGAACAACUACAUUGUUUUCAGUGUCUAACUGUAGAAGGGUGUCUUCACUGAUUUCCAAGGUAUCAUUUCCAGCAAAACUGUCCUGCAUUGCACUAGCACCGGCACUGUUAAGAACCCCUCUCUGCCACAGCUGAAGAGGUGUUGGUCCUCCCUGUGUGGAUAAUCCAUGAUUGUUCCACUGACUUCUGAAUUCUGCAGCUGCCCUCUGAACUCUUGGCAAGUAGAUAUAGUGUAGACAAAACAUAUGGAGUUCAUCUGUAGAAUCCAGUAUGCCCUCAUUUUCCAUGAAGGUGAAGAGAUUACUGAAGUGGAAGGAGACAACUCGGUUUAGCUCUGCCCACAGUCGUUCUAUCCUCUGAUUGUGGACACUGCGUCCAGUUAUGACACUGCCUCUAUUUACCCCCCUUCUCUCCAGCAUGUAUCGGGCAACUCCUGUGUUCCCCAUGCCGUGGUCACAGCGUACUCUCAAGGGAAGGCCAAAGCUCUGUACACCAGUGCGGAACAGUUGCAGUACACUUGAU